Molecule: ribosomal RNA, 253 nt
Filed under: uncultured bacterium
Lineage: Bacteria
Description: partial 16S ribosomal RNA
Rfam family: Bacterial small subunit ribosomal RNA
Source: RNAcentral
UACGAAGGUCCCGAGCGUUGUUCGGAAUCACUGGGCGUAAAGGGAGCGUAGGCGGCGCGGUAAGUCAGAUGUGAAAUCCCGGGGCUCAACCCCGGAACUGCAUCCGAUACUGCCGUGCUAGAGGAUUGGAGAGGUAGCUGGAAUUCUUGGUGUAGCAGUGAAAUGCGUAGAGAUCAAGAGGAACACCCGUGGCGAAAGCGAGCUACUGGACAAUUCCUGACGCUGAGGCUCGAAGGCUAGGGUAGCGAAAGGG